This 253-nucleotide ribosomal RNA is filed under the name uncultured bacterium. Its description in RNAcentral is "partial 16S ribosomal RNA". It matches the Rfam family "Bacterial small subunit ribosomal RNA", at positions 524 to 776 of the family's 1533-position model. The record is from RNAcentral.
UACGUAGGGGGCAAGCGUUGUCCGGAUUUACUGGGCGUAAAGAGCGCGCAGGCGGUCGGAUUAGUCGCGUGUGAAAGCCCCCGGCUCAACUGGGGAGGGUCACGCGAUACUGUUCGACUCGAAGGCAGGAGAGGGAAGUGGAAUUCCCGGUGUAGUGGUGAAAUGCGUAGAUAUCGGGAGGAACACCAGUGGCGAAGGCGGCGCUCUGGACCGAGACUGACGCUGAGGCGCGAAAGCGUGGGGAGCAAACAGG